Molecule: long non-coding RNA, 298 nt
Organism: Grus americana (Whooping crane)
Lineage: Eukaryota; Metazoa; Chordata; Aves; Gruiformes; Gruidae
Exons: 3
Source: RefSeq, a predicted model, not a curated record
CAAAGCGCUGUCUGCCCUCAAGAGCUGAGCGUGGCAGAGGGAAUCCAGUGGUGGUAAGGAGUCACAUCUACAGAACUAAUGUUGGGGACUGAGUGUACACAGUGACUAAAAUACAAUGCUUUUAAGGAACGUUGAGAGAGAAAUUCUUCUUGGUCCUUUGCUUUAAAGCAUAAUCAAAGCAGAAGAGAUUGUGUUCCUUCUGUGGGUGAGACAGCACCAUUCUGCAUUUACUUCAUGUAGCCAGAGUGACUCUGCACUGGCUGUGGCACCUCCUUUUAACUGAAGGCUUCAAGUAUGC